This 1031-nucleotide ribosomal RNA is filed under the name Aristerostoma sp. Assp1. RNAcentral describes it as "partial small subunit ribosomal RNA". It matches the Rfam family "Bacterial small subunit ribosomal RNA", at positions 524 to 1488 of the family's 1533-position model. The record is from RNAcentral. Lineage: Eukaryota; Ciliophora; Colpodea; Cyrtolophosidida; Cyrtolophosididae.
UACAUGAGUGGCGAGCGUUACCCGUAUUACUUAGGCGUAAAGGAUGUGUAGGUGUUAUAAGAAUUUAUACUCGACUAUAAUGAAAACAGGAAGCGUGUAUAAUAACUUAUUAAUAGAGAUUAGUAGUUGUUUAUAGCAUCUCGAAAAUAGUGAUUAAAUACAGAGAUUUAACAGGGAUUUUCUAAAUUGAAAAUUUUUUGCAAUACUAAUCUGACACUAAUACAUGAAAGUAUGGACACUGAACAGGAUUAGAGACCCUAUUAACCCAUACCGCGAACAAUGAGUAUAAUACUAAUAUAGUUAAAGCUAACGCUAAAAUACUCCGCCUGGGGACAUCGGCUACUCGGCCUAAACUUAACAGAAUUGGCGGGAAUCUGUUCAAACGGUGGAAUAUGUGGUUUAAUGCGAUGAUCCACGCAUAAUCUUACCAACGUGAAGGCUUUUUAUUUUAAUAGCUCAGAUGAGUUAUGAAACAAAAGUUUAAGGUGUUGCAUGGCUGUCGUCAGUUCGUGCUUCGAAGUGUAGGAUUAAUUUCUUAUAACGGACGUAACCCUCACUCAACAGUUUGAAGAAACGGUAUGGAAUGUUUUAUUACAAAUACUAAAAUCUUUUCUGUAGCAAAGGGAUUGUCGAAACAAAACGUAUAAUGUUUUUAUAAACAUUUAAUUUUUGUUAGGCAGGUUCCGGAGGGUUAGGCUGAAGUCAAGUCCUUAUGACCUGUAUAUGUUGGGCUACACACGUGUUACAAAGGCUGAAACAAAGAGUUGCAAAGGAUUAUACCGAAGCUAAGCUUGAAAAACAGCCCCAGUUCAGAUUGCAUCCUGAAACUCGGAUGCAUGAAGUUGAAAUCGUUAGUAAUCGUAUAAUAGCACGAUACGGUGAAUGUAAAAUCGGGUUCUGCACACACCGCCCAUCACGCUCGGAGAAUUGACGUGUACUGAAUUGUUUUUCUAGGUUUAUUUAUAAAUUUAUUUUUUUAAAAUGACCCAAGGAUGUAGAUGGAUGGCUCGUUGGUAAUUUGAGUGAAGUUG